CGGACGGGUGAGUAACACGUGGAUAACCUACCUAUAAGACUGGGAUAACUUCGGGAAACCGGAGCUAAUACCGGAUAAUAUUUUGAACCGCAUGGUUCAAAAGUGAAAGACGGUCUUGCUGUCACUUAUAGAUGGAUCCGCGCUGCAUUAGCUAGUUGGUAAGGUAACGGCUUACCAAGGCAACGAUGCAUAGCCGACCUGAGAGGGUGAUCGGCCACACUGGAACUGAGACACGGUCCAGACUCCUACGGGAGGCAGCAGUAGGGAAUCUUCCGCAAUGGGCGAAAGCCUGACGGAGCAACGCCGCGUGAGUGAUGAAGGUCUUCGGAUCGUAAAACUCUGUUAUUAGGGAAGAACAUAUGUGUAAGUAACUGUGCACAUCUUGACGGUACCUAAUCAGAAAGCCACGGCUAACUACGUGCCAGCAGCCGCGGUAAUACGUAGGUGGCAAGCGUUAUCCGGAAUUAUUGGGCGUAAAGCGCGCGUAGGCGGUUUUUUAAGUCUGAUGUGAAAGCCCACGGCUCAACCGUGGAGGGUCAUUGGAAACUGGAAAACUUGAGUGCAGAAGAGGAAAGUGGAAUUCCAUGUGUAGCGGUGAAAUGCGCAGAGAUAUGGAGGAACACCAGUGGCGAAGGCGACUUUCUGGUCUGUAACUGACGCUGAUGUGCGAAAGCGUGGGGAUCAAACAGGAUUAGAUACCCUGGUAGUCCACGCCGUAAACGAUGAGUGCUAAGUGUUAGGGGGUUUCCGCCCCUUAGUGCUGCAGCUAACGCAUUAAGCACUCCGCCUGGGGAGUACGACCGCAAGGUUGAAACUCAAAGGAAUUGACGGGGACCCGCACAAGCGGUGGAGCAUGUGGUUUAAUUCGAAGCAACGCGAAGAACCUUACCAAAUCUUGACAUCCUUUGA
Molecule: ribosomal RNA, 909 nt
Filed under: Staphylococcus aureus
Lineage: Bacteria; Bacillati; Bacillota; Bacilli; Caryophanales; Staphylococcaceae
Description: bacterial SSU rRNA
Rfam family: Bacterial small subunit ribosomal RNA
Source: RNAcentral